RNAcentral lists this ribosomal RNA (908 nucleotides) under Palmaria palmata (dulse). RNAcentral's name for it is "eukaryotic LSU rRNA". It matches the Rfam family "Eukaryotic large subunit ribosomal RNA", at positions 194 to 1183 of the family's 3401-position model. The record is from RNAcentral. Lineage: Eukaryota; Rhodophyta; Florideophyceae; Palmariales; Palmariaceae.
AAUGAAGCGCCAUGGAGGGUGAGAGCCCCGUCCAUCCCGCACAGGAUCCAUUCGUACAAGGACGCUUCAACCGAGUCGGGUAGCUUGGGAAUGCUGCUCUAAUUGGUGGUAAAUCUCAUCAAAGGCUAAAUAGUGGUGGGAGACCGAUAGCGAACAAGUACCGUGAGGGAAAGAUGGAAAGAACUUUGAAAAGAGAGUGAAAAGCACUUGAAACCGUCACGGGGGAAGCGGAUUGCGUGAGUGAUGGUGUCGCUUGUUCAGCGCUUUAUUGCGUGCAUUCUGGCGGCGCCGUGCCGGCGUGGCUGGCUGGACUGUGAUUUUGACAGUCUCGGCUGGUGAGGGCUCCCUCGUAUGAGGUGAGGACGCGGGCAAAAUGACGCAAUACGACCCGUCUUGAAACACGGACCAAGGAGUCUAGCACGGCUGCGAGUCGAAGAGUGAUUAAACUCAAGGGCGCAGUGAAAGCGAAAUUAUAAGCAAAUUGGGGAGGCGUUGCGUUUUUAACAAAAUGUCCUACCUCGAGCAUUUGUGCUGGGACCCGAAAGAUGGUGAACUAUGCCGGAGUAGGGCAAAGCCAGAGGAAACUCUGGUGGAGGCUCGUAGCGAUGCUGACGUGCAAAUCGCUCGUCGAACUUGGGUAUAGGGGCGAAAGACUAAUCGAACCAUCUAGUAGCUGGUUCCCUCCGAAGUUUCUCUCAGGAUAGCGGGCCGACACGCGUUUGUUGUUUUGUGCGGUAAAGCGAAUGAUUAGUGCAUUUGGGGUACGAAGUACUUCGGGCGAUUCUCAAACUUUAAAUGCGCAAGGGGGUGGCUGCUUAAUUGAGCCUACUCUUUGAAAAACGUCGGCCCUGUGGGCCACUUUUGGUAAGCAGAACUGGCGAUAAGGGAUGAACCUUAAGCGCGGUUAA